GAUGAACGCUGGCGGCGUGCCUAAUACAUGCAAGUCGAGCGAACGGACGAGAAGCUUGCUUCUCUGAUGUUAGCGGCGGACGGGUGAGUAACACGUGGAUAACCUACCUAUAAGACUGGGAUAACUUCGGGAAACCGGCGCUAAUACCGUAUAAUAUUUUGAACCGCAUGGUUCAAAAGUGAAAGACGGUCUUGCUGUCACUUAUCGAUGGAUCCGCGCUGCAUUAGCUAGUUGGUAAGGUAACGGCUUACCAAGGCAACGAUGCAUAGCCGACCUGAGAGGGUGAUAGGCCACACGGGAACUGAGACACGGUCAAGACUCCUAAGGGAGGCAGCAGAAGGGAAUCUGCCGCAAUGGGCGAAAGCCUGACGGAGCAACGCCGCGUGAGUGAUGAAGGUCUUCGGAUCGUAAAACUCUGUUAUUAGGGAAGAAUAGAUGUGUAAGUAACCGUGCACAUCUUGACGGUACCUAAUCAGAAAGCCACGGCUAACUACGUG
RNAcentral lists this ribosomal RNA (497 nucleotides) under uncultured bacterium. RNAcentral describes it as "partial 16S ribosomal RNA". It matches the Rfam family "Bacterial small subunit ribosomal RNA", at positions 28 to 507 of the family's 1533-position model. The record is from RNAcentral.